UGGAUCGAUGAUGACCACUGGUGGCGUACGAGUCAGACACGAUGACUACGCGUGAAAUCUGAGGUCCAA
Talpa occidentalis (Iberian mole) is the source of this 69-nucleotide small nucleolar RNA. RefSeq annotates it as small nucleolar RNA SNORD113/SNORD114 family. The record is from RefSeq and is a predicted model, not a curated record. The transcript has a single exon. NCBI's taxonomy places the organism in Eukaryota, Metazoa, Chordata, Mammalia, Eulipotyphla, Talpidae.